Molecule: ribosomal RNA, 226 nt
Filed under: uncultured actinomycete
Lineage: Bacteria; Bacillati; Actinomycetota; Actinomycetes; Actinomycetales
Description: partial 16S ribosomal RNA
Rfam family: Bacterial small subunit ribosomal RNA
Source: RNAcentral
GGGAGGCAGCAGUGGGGAAUAUUGCACAAUGGGCGAGCUGACGCAGCGACGCCGCGUGGGGAUGACGGCCUUCGGGUUGUAAACCUCUGUCAUUUGGGAAGAAGCUUAGUGAUGGUUCCUGCAUGAGAUGAUCCUGCCGACUACGGGCCGGCCGGCUCGGUCUUUGCCAGCAGCCGCGGUAAUAAGGAAUUACUGGGCGUAAAGAGUUCGUAGGCGGUUUGUCGCG